This 75-nucleotide transfer RNA is filed under the name Marmota monax (woodchuck). Its description in RNAcentral is "tRNA.Ala". The record is from RNAcentral. Lineage: Eukaryota; Metazoa; Chordata; Mammalia; Rodentia; Sciuridae.
GUGUAGUUUUAGCUCAGUGGUAGAGUGCUUGCCUAGCAUGUGAGAGGCACUGGGUUUGAUCCUCAGCACCACAUA